This 433-nucleotide ribosomal RNA is filed under the name uncultured bacterium. RNAcentral describes it as "partial 16S ribosomal RNA". It matches the Rfam family "Bacterial small subunit ribosomal RNA", at positions 29 to 507 of the family's 1533-position model. The record is from RNAcentral.
AACGAACGCUGGCGGCAUGCCUAACACAUGCCAGUCGAACGAGACCUUCGGGUCUAGUGGCGCACGGGUGCGUAACGCGUGGGAACCUGCCCUUAGGUUCGGAAUAACUCCCCGAAAGGGGUGCUAAUACCGGAUAAUGUCUUCGGACCAAAGAUUUAUCGCCUUUGGAUGGGCCCGCGUUGGAUUAGCUAGUUGGUAGGGUAAAAGCCUACCAAGGCGACGUUCCAUAGCUGGUCUGAGAGGAUGAUCAGCCACACUGGGACUGAGACACGGCCCAGACUCCUACGGGAGGCAGCAGUGGGGAAUAUUGGACAAUGGGCGAAAGCCUGAUCCAGCAAUGCCGCGUGAGUGAUGAAGGCCUUAGGGUUGUAAAGCUCUUUUACCCGGGAUGAUAAUGACAGUACCGGGAGAAUAAGCUCCGGCUAACUCCGUG